This is a long non-coding RNA of Calidris pugnax (ruff), 494 nucleotides long. RefSeq lists it as uncharacterized. The transcript is spliced from 3 exons. The record is from RefSeq and is a predicted model, not a curated record. Lineage: Eukaryota; Metazoa; Chordata; Aves; Charadriiformes; Scolopacidae.
CUGAUUUAAUCAAGGCUUCUUCCUUCCUUUUUGUAAAACACAGAAUGUGCCUGUCGGGAGAGAACACAGACAUCUUUCUCUGCGUUUUGAAAAUGCGAAGCAGGCUUUUCGUGACUUCGGCCAGGCUACACGUGCACCACAACUAAAAGCCCUUCAGGAGCCUGCAGUGAUAGCUUGCAAUGGACCAAGACGCGCACCGCACAGCAGAAAGGGAACUGUUGGAAGCUGUAAGCAGGAUUACUACAUUUUCUACAAGCCCUUCUGAUGAAGAACAAAAUCAACCCAAAGCUGAAAUUUCACAUCAAGAGAGAAAGGAAAACCCAGAAAAAGAUGACCUGCAAGAUUCCAGUGCAUCCCUAAGUCCCAACUCUUCAAUGACCACUAAGGAGCUUCAGGAAUAUUGGAGGAGUGAAAAACGCCAGUGCAGACAAGUCAAACUCCUUUUUGAAAUCCCAUCAACCAGAAUUGUAGAGCACCACUUAUCUAAAUACGUG